RNAcentral lists this ribosomal RNA (630 nucleotides) under uncultured rumen bacterium. RNAcentral describes it as "bacterial SSU rRNA". It matches the Rfam family "Bacterial small subunit ribosomal RNA", at positions 855 to 1503 of the family's 1533-position model. The record is from RNAcentral.
AAAUCGUAAGCAUCCACUGGGAGUACGCGGCAACGGUGAACUCAUAGGAUGACGGGGGCCCGCACAAGCGGAGGAACAUGUGGUUUAACUCGAUGAUACGCGAGGAACCUUACCCGGGCUUGAACUGCCAGCGAACGAUUCAGAGAUGAUGAGGCCCUUCGGGGCGCUGGUGGAGGUGCUGCAUGGUGUCGUCAGCUCGUGCCGUGAGGUGUCGGCUUAAGUGCCAUAACGAGCGCAACCCUUUUCUUUAGUUGCCAUCAGGUAAUGCUGGGCACUCUGGAGAUACUGCCACCGUAAGGUGUGAGGAAGGUGGGGAUGACGUCAAAUCAGCACGGCCCUUACGUCCGGGGCUACACACGUGUUACAAUGGGGGGUACAGAGAGUCGGAUAUACGCAAGUAUGUUCUAAUCCUUAAAGCCUUCCUCAGUUCGGAUUGGGGUCUGCAACCCGACCCCAUGAAGCUGGAUUCGCUAGUAAUCGCGCAUCAGCCAUGGCGCGGUGAAUACGUUCCCGGGCCUUGUACACACCGCCCGUCAAGCCAUGAAAGCCGGGGGCGCUUGAAGUCCGUGACCGCAAGGAUCGGCCUAGAGCGAAACUGGUAAUGGGGCUAAGUCGUAACAAGGUAACCUA